UUUAAAGCAUUUGUAAUUUAAUUAAAAAGAACUCCUAUUUUUCUUUUUAGGAAGACAUUCUCUUAUAUUCUGUCGUUUGAGUAAAAAAUAAGGAUUCAUGUAGUAAUUUUAUUAUAAAUUGUGCAAUUUCUCCAAUUGGGCCAUUCUAAGCCAAUAAUGCGUUAUUAAUGAUGAUAUGAAAACUUUUCAUAUUAUCUUACACAAAGGGUAUUAACGCCUUUUACAAGCUUGUCCGGCAAAAAUCAGUCACAUGAUACGACCGGAAACAAUUUUUACAUUAAUCAUAUAAAUGUACACAAAACAAAAUGCAUUUACAAAAUGCUAUUAAUUGAAUUAUUUCAAGAAAUAUUAUAUAGUAUGUGAUGUCACCAUGAAGUUGUCAUUUGAGAUGAACGGAUUAAAUUACUUAGCAUUAAUCCUCCCCUAUAGGACUAUAGGAUUCCAUAUCCAAAUAAGAAAAUGUCUUUUUCACUUACGAGAAACAAUUCAGAUUAGAAACGAUUAAACUU
Molecule: long non-coding RNA, 509 nt
Organism: Bombus impatiens (common eastern bumble bee)
Lineage: Eukaryota; Metazoa; Arthropoda; Insecta; Hymenoptera; Apidae
Exons: 2
Source: RefSeq, a predicted model, not a curated record